Molecule: ribosomal RNA, 253 nt
Filed under: uncultured bacterium
Lineage: Bacteria
Description: partial 16S ribosomal RNA
Rfam family: Bacterial small subunit ribosomal RNA
Source: RNAcentral
UACGAAGGGGGCUAGCGUUGCUCGGAAUCACUGGGCGUAAAGGGUGCGUAGGCGGGGCUUUAAGUCAGGGGUGAAAUCCUGGAGCUCAACUCCAGAACUGCCUUUGAUACUGAGGAUCUUGAGUUCGGGAGAGGUGAGUGGAACUGCGAGUGUAGAGGUGAAAUUCGUAGAUAUUCGCAAGAACACCAGUGGCGAAGGCGGCUCACUGGCCUGAUACUGACGCUGAGGCACGAAAGCGUGGGGAGCAAACAGG